This 274-nucleotide long non-coding RNA is filed under the name Manihot esculenta (cassava). Its description in RNAcentral is "long non-coding RNA (MESC_LNC012428)". Lineage: Eukaryota; Viridiplantae; Streptophyta; Magnoliopsida; Malpighiales; Euphorbiaceae. The record is from RNAcentral.
UUAACAUAACAUAUCAUAACAUACCAAUGUGCCAGGGACGUAGAAUGGGUACAACCUGGACUUUCUCUUACAUAGUGCCAGGGACGUAGAAUGGGUACAACCUGGACUUCCUUACCAUACCAUGCCGUAGCAUCAUCAUAUCAUAUGAGGACUAAAGGGUCAUCCAAUAACCAAUCCACAUCAACAUCAUAAAUGCAAUGCAACAUAUUCGUGGAUUCUAAUGCAAACAACCUAUUUCAUCACAUGGCAUUCAUGAUGCAUGAACAUGCUCAAC